Molecule: long non-coding RNA, 580 nt
Filed under: Homo sapiens (human)
Lineage: Eukaryota; Metazoa; Chordata; Mammalia; Primates; Hominidae
Description: LHRI_LNC1740.1
Source: RNAcentral
AUUAACUCAGUUUGCUGCCAGUGCUUCUACUGUGCUCUUACUGGCUAUUUUCAUUUAUACCUGCUGCUGAGUCAUGACCACCCAAAAUCUACAUGUUGAAGCUCUAACUCCCAGUAACUCAGAAUGUGACUGUUUAUUUGGGGAUUGGGCUUUUAGUGGGGUGAUUAGGUUAAAGUGAGGCUGUUAGGGUCGGCCCUAAUGCAAUCUGUCUGGUGUCUUUAUAAGAAGAGGGAAUUUGGACACACAGAGACACCAGACUAGUGUGUGCACAGAGGAAACGAAGACACAGCAAGAAGGCGGCCACCCUGCAGGCCAUGAAGAGAGGGCUCAGGAGAAACCAGACCCACCAACAGUUUGAUCUUGAACUCUGAGCCUCCAGAACUGUGAGAAAAUAAUCGUCUGUUGUUGAAGCCACCCAGUCUGUGGUACUUUGUUACGGCAGCCCCAGCAAUGGAUACACGUGCUGUAAUGCAGAAGCUUAUGCCAGACUCUGUCUUCUUCUGACCAGACACUAAAGAGAUUUGUAAAACUGUAAAACAGUGCCACUCUCUUACUAAUUUGGGGGAGCGGUAGAGACGGU